Marmota monax (woodchuck) is the source of this 177-nucleotide long non-coding RNA. RefSeq lists it as uncharacterized. The record is from RefSeq and is a predicted model, not a curated record. The transcript is spliced from 2 exons. Lineage: Eukaryota; Metazoa; Chordata; Mammalia; Rodentia; Sciuridae.
AGACCAUGAACCCCUUGAUGUCAGGACCACGUCCCGUCAAAUCCAGAUGCCCAGAGGAGUUGAUGCCCAUGAAUGGACCUGAGGGAUCCCCCUAGCUUUCCAACUUUGGACAUGGUUAUUAUUUGGGGGAGGAUUGUCUCUUCUGAUCUUUGGAUUAAAGUAUCACUACAGUUUGAA